Molecule: ribosomal RNA, 253 nt
Filed under: uncultured bacterium
Lineage: Bacteria
Description: partial 16S ribosomal RNA
Rfam family: Bacterial small subunit ribosomal RNA
Source: RNAcentral
CACGUAGGGUGCAAGCGUUGUCCGGAAUUAUUGGGCGUAAAGAGCUCGUAGGCGGUCUGUCGCGUCUGCUGUGAAAACUCAGGGCUUAACCCUGAGCUUGCAGUGGGUACGGGCAGACUAGAGUGCGGUAGGGGAGACUGGAAUUCCUGGUGUAGCAGUGAAAUGCGUAGAUAUCAGGAGGAAUACCGAGGGCGAAGGCAGGUCUCUGGGCUGACACUGACGCUCAUGCACGAAAGCGUGGGGAGCAAACAGG